GUAUGAAAGGAACAACGAUUUAUUAACUGUUUCAAAAUAACACACUAAAAUUACUCAAUGUUGUAAAAAAGCAACAUUAACAAAGCAGGACGACAAGACCCUAUCGAACUUAACACUUUAAGUUAUACUGGGGCGGUCAAAAACUACAUCUUUACUAACCCCUUCAAUAAAAGCUACAAAAUAGAAUUAAAAACAAGUUACCGUAGGGAUAACAGCAUAAUAGCCUACUAAAGCCCUCAUAUAACAGGCUGCUUAUGACCUCGAUGUUGAAUUA
RNAcentral lists this ribosomal RNA (274 nucleotides) under Speocera sp. 419 FL-2019. RNAcentral describes it as "partial large subunit ribosomal RNA". It matches the Rfam family "Bacterial large subunit ribosomal RNA", at positions 1990 to 2539 of the family's 2925-position model. The record is from RNAcentral. Lineage: Eukaryota; Metazoa; Arthropoda; Arachnida; Araneae; Ochyroceratidae.